ACGGGGUGCAGCAGGCGCGAAACCUUUGCAAUGUGCGCAAGCACGACAAGGUUAAUCCGAGUGUUUCCUGCUAAAGGAAUCUUUUGUUAGUCGUAAAACCACUGAUGAAUAAGGGGUGGGCAAGUUCUGGUGUCAGCCGCCGCGGUAAAACCAGCACCUCAAGUGGUCAGGAGGAUUAUUGGGCCUAAAGCAUCCGUAGCCGGCUCUGCAAGUUUUCGGUUAAAUCCAUUUGCUUAACAAAUGGGCUGCCGAAAAUACUACAUAGCUAGGGAGUGGGAGAGGUAGACGGUAUUCGGUAGGAAGGGGUAAAAUCCUUUGAUCUAUUGAGGACCACCUAUGGCGAAGGCAGUCUACCAGAACACGUUCGGCGGUGAGGGAUGAAAGCUGGGGGAGCAAACCGGGUUAGAUACCCGGGUAGUCCCAGCUGUAAACGAUGCAGACUCGGUGAUGCACUGGCUUGUGGCCAGUGCAGUGCCGCAGGGAAGCCGUUAAGUUUGCCGCCUGGGAAGUACGUACGCAAGUAUGAAACUUAAAGGAAUUGGCGGGGGAGCAC
RNAcentral lists this ribosomal RNA (553 nucleotides) under uncultured Nitrososphaerota archaeon. RNAcentral's name for it is "bacterial SSU rRNA". It matches the Rfam family "Archaeal small subunit ribosomal RNA", at positions 325 to 879 of the family's 1478-position model. The record is from RNAcentral. Lineage: Archaea; Thermoproteati; Nitrososphaerota.